ACGAACGCUGGCGGCAUGCCUAACACCUUCAAGUCGAACGAGACCUUCGGGUCUAGUGGCGCACGGGUGCGUAACGCGUGGGAACCUGCCCUUAGGUUCGGAAUAACUCCCCGAAAGGGGUGCUAAUACCGGAUAAUGUCUUCGGACCAAAGAUUUAUCGCCUUUGGAUGGGCCCGCGUUGGAUUAGCUAGUUGGUAGGGUAAAAGCCUACCAAGGCGACGAUCCAUAGCUGGUCUGAGAGGAUGAUCAGCCACACUGGGACUGAGACACGGCCCAGACUCCUACGGGAGGCAGCAGUGGGGAAUAUUGGACAAUGGGCGAGAGCCUGAUCCAGCAAUGCCGCGUGAGUGAUGAAGGCCUUAGGGUUGUAAAGCUCUUUUACCCGGGAUGAUAAUGACAGUACCGGGAGAAUAAGCUCCGGCUAACUCCGUG
This 432-nucleotide ribosomal RNA is filed under the name uncultured bacterium. RNAcentral's name for it is "partial 16S ribosomal RNA". It matches the Rfam family "Bacterial small subunit ribosomal RNA", at positions 29 to 507 of the family's 1533-position model. The record is from RNAcentral.